CCUACGGGUGGCAGCAGUAGGGAAUCUUGCACAAUGGGGGCAACCCUGAUGCAGCGACGCCGCGUGAGUGAGGACGUAUUUCGGUAUGUAAAGCUCUAUCAGUAGGGAAGAAAAUGACGUUACCUGACUAAGAAGCCCCGGCUAACUACGUGCCAGCAGCCGCGGUAAUACGUAGGGGGCAAGCGUUCUCCGGAUGUACUGGGUGUAAAGGGAGCGUAGACGGAAUAGCAAGACUGAUGUGAAAGCCCGGGGCUCAACUACGGGAGUGCAUGGGAAACUGUUGAGCUAGAGUGUCGGAGGGGCAAGCGGAAUUCCUAGUGUAGCGGUGAAAUGCGUAGAUAUUAGGAGGAACACCAGUGGCGAAGGCGGCUUGCUGGACGAUGACUGACGUUGAGGCUCGAAAGCGUGGGGAGCAAACAGGAUUAGAUACCCGUGUAGUC
This 440-nucleotide ribosomal RNA is filed under the name uncultured bacterium. RNAcentral's name for it is "partial 16S ribosomal RNA". It matches the Rfam family "Bacterial small subunit ribosomal RNA", at positions 338 to 795 of the family's 1533-position model. The record is from RNAcentral.